This 375-nucleotide ribosomal RNA is filed under the name uncultured organism. Its description in RNAcentral is "partial 16S ribosomal RNA". It matches the Rfam family "Bacterial small subunit ribosomal RNA", at positions 527 to 896 of the family's 1533-position model. The record is from RNAcentral.
GGAGGGUGCAAGCGUUGUUCGGGAAUUACUGGGGCGUAAAGCGCGCGUAGGCGGGUAAGUAAGUCGAUUGUGAAACCCCCAGGCUCAACCUGGGGACGUGCAGUCGAAACUGCUUAUCUUGAAUGCUUGAGAGGAUGGCGGAAUUCCCGGUGUAGCAGUGAAAUGCGUAGAUAUCGGGAGGAACACCUGAGGCGAAGGCGGCCAUCUGGCGAUGCAUUGACGCUGAUGUGCGAAAGCGUGGGUAGCAAACAGGAUUAGAUACCCUGGUAGUCCACGCCGUAAACGAUGAUUACUAGGUGCUCGAAGUGUUAACCCUUUGGGUACCGUAGCUCACGCAUUAAGUAAUCCGCCUGGGGAGUACGGUCGCAAAGGCUA